GGACCUCUAAUCGGAAAAGACCACCCGCUGAGUUUAAGCAUAUCAAUA
RNAcentral lists this ribosomal RNA (48 nucleotides) under Plagiomnium undulatum. RNAcentral describes it as "partial 28S ribosomal RNA". RNAcentral also lists the same sequence under 4 other names. Lineage: Eukaryota; Viridiplantae; Streptophyta; Bryopsida; Bryales; Mniaceae. The record is from RNAcentral.